This 1128-nucleotide ribosomal RNA is filed under the name Triticum aestivum (bread wheat). RNAcentral describes it as "partial small subunit ribosomal RNA". The record is from RNAcentral. Lineage: Eukaryota; Viridiplantae; Streptophyta; Magnoliopsida; Poales; Poaceae.
AUGGAGGAGGGGGAGCGGGACGACGGCUUCCUCAACGUGCUGCGGGCGCUGCGCGACGCCGCGCGGACCGUCGAGGCCGGGGACGACGACGGCCCGGCGCUGCGGGCGCUGCUCGCGCUCGAGGCCGCCGCCCACGACCUGCUCGCCGCCGACCCCGAGCUGCACCCGCUCUGCCGCCUGCUCGCCACCAUCAGGGCGCUCUCCUGGUGCGCCUCCGAGGAGGCGGCCGGAGGCGGGGUGGUUGGGGGACUGCGGGCCCGGUGCCGGCGGUGCAAGGCGAGGCGGGGGAUCGCGCGCGCGGCCGGGGGCGUCGCGGCGGAGAUCCAGGCCUGGGCGGACCGCGAGCUCGCCGCGCGCCUCGUGGCCGCGCUGAGGGAGCAGGGCAGGGCCGACUCCCGGGCGCGCGCGCUGCUGGCGGAGCUGGAGGCGCGGCUGCUGGGGGCGGGGGCAGCGGGGCGGUUCGACGCGCGGCUGCAGGACGCGGUGCUCCGGCACGGCGUGUUCGGCGCGGUGGAGGCGCGGCUCGGGGCCCCGGGCGAGGUGGGCGACGGGUGCGCGGCGGCGGCGCUGGCGCUGGUGCGGUUCAACCGGGACGUGUUCGUGGGGCCGGUGCUGAUGGGCCCGGCCGUGGGCGCGCUGGUGACCGCCGCGGCGUCCCACGCCUCGCCGGCGGCCCUGCGCGCGCUCAACGGGCUGGUGGCGGCGAUCCGGACGCCGCUGGUGGACGAGCUGCACGCGCGCGGGGAGCUCCCGCGGCUGGUGGCCCUGCUCUGCGCCGCCGACCCUAGAACGCGCGCGCCCGCGCUGGAGCUCUGCCUCCGCGUGGCCUACUACGGCCGGCGCGAGGUGCUGGACGCGCUCCUCGCCGAGGGCCUCGUCAAGCGCCUCCUCUGCCUCCAGCGCACCGCCGCGGACGCCGACACAAACACAACGGACGAGGAGGAGAGGACGAUGGCGUCGAGCGCGGUGGCGCGGUUGGCGGUGCAGGUGGAGACGGGGCAGGGGCUGCGGCCGCGGGAGAAGCGCGCGGCGAAGCUGGAGAUCCUCCGGCGCGUGCGGGAGGCGGCCGUGUCGCCCGCCGAGGAGGCCGCCGUGCUCACCUCGGUGCUCUGGGGCGCCACGCCGUAG